Ceratotherium simum simum (southern white rhinoceros) is the source of this 76-nucleotide non-coding RNA. Lineage: Eukaryota; Metazoa; Chordata; Mammalia; Perissodactyla; Rhinocerotidae. The record is from RefSeq and is a predicted model, not a curated record.
CCUCAGUGUCCUCAUUUAUAAAAUGGGAUUGAUAAUAGUAUCUAGCUCAUAGGAUUAAGGGGAUUGAACCAGUUAA